This 468-nucleotide ribosomal RNA is filed under the name uncultured bacterium. Its description in RNAcentral is "partial 16S ribosomal RNA". It matches the Rfam family "Bacterial small subunit ribosomal RNA", at positions 28 to 507 of the family's 1533-position model. The record is from RNAcentral.
GACGAACGCUGGCGGUGUGCUUAACACAUGCAAGUCGAACGGCAAGGCCCUGCUUUCGUGGUGUUCUGGAUUGCCGAUCGCGUGCGUAUCACGUGAGCAUCCUGCCCUAGUCUUUGGUGUAACUUAAGGUAACGGGGGUUACUCCAGUACAGCAUCCCAUGUUGCAUGGUGGGCGUGGGAUAUUCUCGGCGGUUGGGGAUGGAUUAGCGGAUUAUCAGCUUGUUGGUGGGGUAGUGGCUUGCCCAGGCUUUGACGGGUAGCCGGCCUGAGAGGGUGACCGGCCACAUUGGGACUGAGAUACGGCCCAGACUCCUACGGGAGGCAGCAGUGGGGAAUAUUGCACAAUGGGCGGAAGCCUGAUGCAGCAACGCCGCGUGCGGGAUGACGGCCUUCGGGUUGUAAACCGCUUUCGCCUGUGACGAAGCGUGAGUGACGGUAAUGGGUAAAGAAGCACCGGCUAACUACGUG